GUGCUGAGGAAGAGUCGGGCUUGGGCCCAGGCAUUUAUCGGCCCACAAAUAGAUUCUCUCCACUAGCGGUGGGCCUGAACGCAUGCACUAGCCUAUCUGCGGGCAUGGAGGUGAGUAGGCCUUCCAUAGGGCUUGCAGGGCGCUCAAGGCCAAGCUCGGCCCAGCCCAAGCAUGCCCGAUCCUUUGAGUUUGACAUGGGUCGAGUGCUUGAAAGGCCCAUUUUGUAGGAAAGUGGUAAUGGUGGAUACAGAAAAGGU
This 257-nucleotide long non-coding RNA is filed under the name Elaeis guineensis (African oil palm). RNAcentral describes it as "long non-coding RNA (EGUI_LNC066684)". Lineage: Eukaryota; Viridiplantae; Streptophyta; Magnoliopsida; Arecales; Arecaceae. The record is from RNAcentral.